GACAGGAACAUGCAAAUCCCAUUUGAGGAGC
Molecule: non-coding RNA, 31 nt
Filed under: Macaca fascicularis (crab-eating macaque)
Lineage: Eukaryota; Metazoa; Chordata; Mammalia; Primates; Cercopithecidae
Also listed under: 1 other name
Source: RNAcentral